This 253-nucleotide ribosomal RNA is filed under the name uncultured bacterium. RNAcentral's name for it is "partial 16S ribosomal RNA". It matches the Rfam family "Bacterial small subunit ribosomal RNA", at positions 524 to 776 of the family's 1533-position model. The record is from RNAcentral.
UACGUAGGGGGCUAGCGUUGUCCGGAAUCAUUGGGCGUAAAGCGCGUGUAGGCGGUCCGGUAAGUCCGCUGUGAAAGUCGGGGGCUCAACCCUCGGAUGCCGGUGGAUACUGUCGGGCUUGAGUACGGAAGAGGCGAGUGGAAUUCCUGGUGUAGCGGUGAAAUGCGCAGAUAUCAGGAGGAACACCAAUUGCGAAGGCAGCUCGCUGGGACGUCACUGACGCUGAGACGCGAAAGCGUGGGGAGCGAACAGG